AUUGAACGCUGGCGGCAGGCCUAACACAUGCAAGUCGAGCGGAAACGAGUUGUCUGAACCUUCGGGGAACGAUAGCGGCGUCGAGCGGCGGACGGGUGAGUAAUGCCUAGGAAAUUGCCCUGAUGUGGGGGAUAACCAUUGGAAACGAUGGCUAAUACCGCAUGAUGCCUACGGGCCAAAGAGGGGGACCUUCGGGCCUCUCGCGUCAGGAUAUGCCUAGGUGGGAUUAGCUAGUUGGUGAGGUAAGGGCUCACCAAGGCGACGAUCCCUAGCUGGUCUGAGAGGAUGAUCAGCCACACUGGAACUGAGACACGGUCCAGACUCCUACGGGAGGCAGCAGUGGGGAAUAUUGCACAAUGGGCGCAAGCCUGAUGCAGCCAUGCCGCGUGUGUGAAGAAGGCCUUCGGGUUGUAAAGCACUUUCAGUCGUGAGGAAGGUAGUGUAGUUAAUAGCUGCAUUAUUUGACGUUAGCGACAGAAGAAGCACCGGCUAACUCCGUGCCAGCAGCCGCGGUAAUACGGAGGGUGCGAGCGUUAAUCGGAACUACUGGGCGUAAAGCGCAUGCAGGUGGUUUGUUAAGUCAGAUGUGAAAGCCCGGGGCUCAACCUCGGAAUUGCAUUUGAAACUGGCAGACUAGAGUACUGUAGAGGGGGGUAGAAUUUCAGGUGUAGCGGUGAAAUGCGUAGAGAUCUGAAGGAAUACCGGUGGCGAAACGGCCCCCUGGACAGAUACUGACACUCAGAUGCGAAAGCGUGGGGAGCAAACAGG
Molecule: ribosomal RNA, 768 nt
Filed under: uncultured bacterium
Lineage: Bacteria
Description: bacterial SSU rRNA
Rfam family: Bacterial small subunit ribosomal RNA
Source: RNAcentral